AGAGCGAACGCUGGCGGCAGGCCUAACACAUGCAAGUCGAACGGACCCUUCGGGGUUAGUGGCGGACGGGUGAGUAACACGUGGGAACGUGCCUUUAGGUUCGGAAUAGCUCCUGGAAACGGGUGGUAAUGCCGAAUGUGCCCCUUCGGGGGAAAGAUUUAUCGCCUUUAGAGCGGCCCGCGUCUGAUUAGCUUGUUGGUGAGGUAAUGGCUCACCAAGGCUACGAUCAGUAGCUGGUCUGAGAGGAUGACCAGCCACAUUGGGACUGAGACACGGCCCAAACUCCUACGGGAGGCAGCAGUGGGGAAUCUUGCGCAAUGGGCGAAAGCCUGACGCAGCCAUGCCGCGUGUAUGAUGAAGGUCUUAGGGAUUGUAAAAUACUUUCACCGGUUGAAGAUAAUGACUGUAGCCGGAGAAGAAGCCCCGGCUAACUUCGUGCCAGCCAGCCGC
RNAcentral lists this ribosomal RNA (450 nucleotides) under uncultured soil bacterium. RNAcentral's name for it is "bacterial SSU rRNA". It matches the Rfam family "Bacterial small subunit ribosomal RNA", at positions 26 to 518 of the family's 1533-position model. The record is from RNAcentral.